AUUGAACGCUGGCGGCAUGCCUAACACAUGCAAGUCGAACGGUAACAGGCCCUUCGGGGUGCUGACGAGUGGCGGAUGGGUGAGUAAUACUUAGGAAUCUACCCUGUAGUGGGGACGAACCCGGGAAACGUCGGCUAAUACCGCAUACGCUCUACGGAGGAAAGCGGGGACCGCAACGGCCUCGCGCUAUUGGAUGAGCCUAAGCCCGAUUAGCUAGUUGGUGGGUAAUAGCCUACCAAGGCAAUGAUCGGUAGCUGGUCUGAGAGGACGACCAGCCACACU
This 282-nucleotide ribosomal RNA is filed under the name uncultured bacterium. RNAcentral describes it as "partial 16S ribosomal RNA". It matches the Rfam family "Bacterial small subunit ribosomal RNA", at positions 30 to 314 of the family's 1533-position model. The record is from RNAcentral.